This 2003-nucleotide ribosomal RNA is filed under the name human gut metagenome. Its description in RNAcentral is "bacterial LSU rRNA". It matches the Rfam family "Bacterial large subunit ribosomal RNA", at positions 1 to 1999 of the family's 2925-position model. The record is from RNAcentral.
UUAAGAUACUAAGAGCAUACGGUGGAUGCCUUGGCGAUAUCUGCCGACGAAGGACGUGACAAGCUGCGAAAAGCUGCGGAGAGAUGCAAAUAAUCGGCGACCCGCAGACAUCCGAAUGGAGCAAUCCGGCUGUGAUGAUGCACAGCCAUCCAUGCCCAAGAGCAUGAGAAGGGAACCGGGCGAACUGAAACAUCUAAGUAGCCCGAGGAAAAGAAAUCAAACGAGAUACCCCAAGUAGCGGCGAGCGAACAGGGAAGAAGCCCAAACCGGUGAAGGAAACUUUACCGGGGUUGAGGACCAUCAGACCCGCGAAGAACCUUAGCCGAAACUGUUGGGAAACAGUGCCAAAGACAGUGAAAGCCUGGUAGGCGAAAAAGAGAAACGCGGAGAUGGCACCGGAGUACCGCGGGACACGAGAAAUCCCGUGGGAAGCAGGGGGGACCACCCUCCAAGGCAAAACACAGAUAUCGACCGAUAGCGCAUAGUACCAUGAGGGAAAGGUGAAAAGCACCCCGGGAGGGGAAUGAAAGAGAACCUGAAACCGUAUGUUUACAAGCAGUCGGAGACCGCUUAAUAAUAAGGUCGACGGCGUGCCUAUUGAAGAAUGAACCGGCGAGUUACGAAGCCUGGCAAGGUUAAGCAGGAAAUGCGGAGCCGAAGCGAAAGCGAGUCUUAAGAGGGCGCAAGUCAGGAAGCGUAGACCCGAAACCACAGUGAUCUACCCAUGUCCAGGUUGAAACACAGGUAAAAAUGUGUGGAGGACCGAACCUAUAUCCGUUGAAAAGGGUUAGGAUGAGGUGUGGGUAGGGGUGAAAUUCCAAUCGAACGUGGAGAUAGCUGGUUCUCCCCGAAAUAGCUUUAGGGCUAGCCUCAGGGAAAAGAUUGCAGGCGGUAGAGCACUGAUCAGGAGAGGGACCUACCCGGUUACCAAACCCAGUCAAACUCCGAAUGGCUGCAAUCAUACCUGGGAGUCAGACUGCGACUAAUAAGGGCCGCAGUCAAAAGGGAAACAGCCCAGACCAUCAGCUAAGGUCCCCAAUGCCGUGCUAAGUGGCGAAGGAUGUGGCAUUUCAUAAACAACCAGGAUGUUGGCUCAGAAGCAGCCACCAUUUAAAGAGUGCGUAAUAGCUCACUGGUCGAGAGACGCUGCGCCGAAAAUGUCCGGGGCUCAAGCACGGAACCGAAGCUAUGGCAUGAUAGCAAUAUCAUGGGUAGGGGAGCGUUCUUAUAAGGAAGAAGCAUGACCGGAAGGACAUGUGGACGAAUAAGAAGUGAGAAUGCCGGUAUGAGUAUCGAAAAGAAAGGUGAGAAUCCUUUCCACCGAAAGCCCGAGGGUUCCUGAGCAACGAUCGUCGACUCAGGGUAAGUCGGGACCUAAGCCGAGGCGAGAAGCGUAGGCGAUGGACAACAGGUUGAAAUUCCUGUACCGGAUCAAGUCGAUCGAGCGAAGGAGCGACGCAGGAGGGCACAUGAUCGCGCGGCUGGAAGAGCGCGUCCAAGUGCGUAUGUUGCAGCAGAGGAAAACCCCUGCAGCUAAAAGCAGAGACAUGAUGGGGAGUUAAAGGAAACUUUGACGAACUCAUGGAUCCCACACUGCCAAGAAAAACUUCUAGCGAGACAAGAUCCGCCCGUACCGUAAACCGACACAGGUAGGCGGGGAGAGAAUCCUAAGGUGCGCGGGAAAACCCUCGUUAAGGAACUCGGCAAAUUGCAUCCGUAACCUAGGGAGAAGGAUGGCCCCCGGUCAGUGAAGAGCAGAAACGCUCAGAGCUAAAAGGGGCGGCAGAAAAGAGGCCCAAGCAACUGUUUACCAAAAACACAGGUGCCUGCGAAAGCGAAAGCUGAAGUAUAGGUGCUGACGCCUGCCCGGUGCCGGAAGGUUAAGGAGAGAAGUUAGCGAAAGCGAAGCAUCGAACUGAAGCCCCGGUGAACGGCGGCCGUAACUAUAACGGUCCUAAGGUAGCGAAAUUCCUUGUCGGGUAAGUUCCGACCCGCACGAAAGG